Molecule: ribosomal RNA, 1335 nt
Filed under: metagenome
Description: bacterial LSU rRNA
Rfam family: Bacterial large subunit ribosomal RNA
Source: RNAcentral
CGUGUGUUGGUUUCGACCGGCAUACGCGUGUUAUGUCAAACUUCCAAGAAAAUCUCGUACAUCUGUUAAUCACGAAAUCACCUGUACCUGAAACCGACACAGGUAGGUUGGUAGAGAAUACCAAGGGGCGCGAGAGAACUCUCCUUAAGGAACUCGGCAAAUUAGCCCCGUAACUUCGGAAGAAGGGGUACCCUUGCAAGAGGGUCGCAGUGAACAGGCCCAGGCGACUGUUUACCAAAAACACAGGUCUCCGCUAAGUCGUAAGACAAUAUAUGGGGGCUGACGCCUGCCCAGUGCCGGAAGGUUAAGGAAGUUGGUUCGGGCAUUCGCUCAAAGCUGACGACCGAAGCCCCGGUGAACGGCGGCCGUAACGAUAACGGUCCUAAGGUAGCGAAAUUCCUUGUCGAGUAAGUUUCGACCUGCACGAAAGGCGUAACGAUCUGGGCACUGUCUCAAGGAGAGGCUCGGUGAAAUAGGAUUGUCUGUGAAGAUGCGGACUACUUACACCAGGACAGAAAGACCCUAUGAAGCUUGACUGUAUCCUGGAAUGGGGUUUGGGCUUUUCUUGCGCAGUCUAGGUGGGAGGCGUUGAAGGGUAGGUUCCGGCCUAUCUGGAGCCAACAGUGAGAGACCACUCUGGAAAGGCUAGAAUCCUAAUUGCGAUCCUUGAAUCAGGACGCUUGACAGUUUCAGGUGGGCAGUUUUUCUGGGGCGGAAACCUCCUAAAAGGUAACGGAGGUGUGCAAAAGUUCCCUCAGCCUGGACGGAAAUCAGGCAGCGAGUGCAAAGGCAGAAGGGAGCUUGACUGCGAGACUGACACGUCAAGCAGGGGCGAAAGCCGGCCUUAGUGAUCCGACGGUGCCGCGUGGAAGGGCCGUCGCUCAACGGAUAAAAGUUACUCUAAGGAUAACAGGCUAAUCUUCCCCAAGAGUUCACAUCGACGGGAAGGUUUGGCACCUCGAUGUCGGCUCAUCACAUCCUGGGCGGUAGUACGUCCCAAGGGUUGGGCUGUUCGCCCAUUAAAGUGGUACGUGAGCUGGGUUCAGAACGUCGUGAGACAGUUCGGUCCAUAUCCGGUGUAAGCGCUGGAGCAUUGAAGGGAGUCGACUCUAGUACGAGAGGACCGAGUUGAGCAGACCUCUGGUGUAUCUGUUCUCACGCCCGUGGGAAACGCAGAGUAGCUACGUCUGUCGCAGAGACACGCUGAAAGCAUCUAAGCAUAAAACUGACCCUAAGAUGAGUGCUCCCUAUUAGGCCGCGGCCAGACUAGCCGUUUGAUAGGUGUUAAGUAUAAGGUUCGUAAGGACUUCAGCUGAGACAUCCUAAAGGCCCAUC